This 253-nucleotide ribosomal RNA is filed under the name uncultured bacterium. RNAcentral describes it as "partial 16S ribosomal RNA". It matches the Rfam family "Bacterial small subunit ribosomal RNA", at positions 524 to 776 of the family's 1533-position model. The record is from RNAcentral.
UACGUAGGGGGCAAGCGUUGUCCGGAUUUAUUGGGCGUAAAGAGCGUGUAGGCGGCCAUACAGGUCCGUUGUGAAAACUGGAGGCUUAACCUCCAGACGUCGAUGGAAACCGUAUGGCUAGAGUCCGGAAGAGGAGAGUGGAAUUCCUGGUGUAGCGGUGAAAUGCGCAGAUAUCAGGAAGAACACCCGUGGCGAAGGCGGCUCUCUGAGACGGUACUGACGCUGAGACGCGAAAGCGUGGGGAGCGAACAGG